Molecule: ribosomal RNA, 508 nt
Filed under: uncultured bacterium
Lineage: Bacteria
Description: partial 16S ribosomal RNA
Rfam family: Bacterial small subunit ribosomal RNA
Source: RNAcentral
AUUGAACGCUGGCGGCAGACCUAACACAUGCAAGUCGAGCGGCAGCGGGAAAGUAGCUUGCUACUUUUGCCGGCGAGCGGCGGACGGGUGAGUAAUGCCUGGGGAUCUGCCCAGUCGAGGGGGAUAACUACUGGAAACGGUAGCUAAUACCGCAUACGCCCUACGGGGGAAAGCAGGGGACCUUCGGGCCUUGCGCGGUUGGAUGAACCCAGGUGGGAUUAGCUAGUUGGUGAGGUAAUGGCUCACCAAGGCGACGAUCCCUAGCUGGUCUGAGAGGAUGAUCAGCCACACUGGAACUGAGACACGGUCCAGACUCCUACGGGAGGCAGCAGUGGGGAAUAUUGCACAAUGGGGGAAACCCUGAUGCAGCCAUGCCGCGUGUGUGAAGAAGGCCUUCGGGUUGUAAAGCACUUUCAGCGAGGAGGAAAGGUUGGUAGCUAAUAACUGCCAGCUGUGACGUUACUCGCAGAAGAAGCACCGGCUAACUCCGUGCCAGCAGCCGCAGUAA